Non-coding RNA from Chiloscyllium plagiosum (whitespotted bambooshark), 385 nucleotides. Lineage: Eukaryota; Metazoa; Chordata; Chondrichthyes; Orectolobiformes; Hemiscylliidae. The record is from RefSeq and is a predicted model, not a curated record.
GAAGAGAAGGGAGAGACUGAGGAAUGGUCUGAUCCAGGUCUUUAAGCUUCCUCUCGCUCAUUUGGAGGAGACAGUGCACAAAGCAGAAGAGAAGAUUAAGAAUCAAGAAGGAGUGCCACUCUUCAAUGUCCUCAGGGCAGCAGAGGAGCAGGUUCCUUUGGGGAGUGUUGGAUCGGUAUGAGCCAGCACCAUCAGAGGCUGUCUAUGUAUUACUUCUGAACCCUCUUUCACCUCAAUGAAGACAGAGCAAAUUGCAACUCACCAAACUCUUGUUUUCCCUGAGACCCGCUACCUGCAAAUGUAUGCUGCCUUUGACCUGCGAGCUGCUUCCUAGAUUUGCAUAUUAACCUUCCAGCAUCCACUGUAUUUGCUUCCAGCAAUAAUA